AAAGGAAAAGAGAAAGCAGUUUAGAAAAGCAUCGGUGUGAUCAAAACAUGUUGUGACUUGCCGCAGUUGAAAACCUAAUGAAAUAGAUAUCCGUAGGAGGAGGCGCAAAAGGAGAAAACGCGAUGAUGCAGUAGAGGGGAGGCCGUAAAAGCUAACGUGUAGAAAAAGAUAGCUCUAACGAUGAUACAAGUGUUCUAGUGAUAGCUCUGUUGUUUCCAUUUGUUUCCCUUUUCUUUUUAACAAUUGAUCUAGUUUUGGGUCUUACAUAAUUUUAUAUACACGAAUUAAGGUUUAUAUAGAACUUUUAUGCAUCAAACUAUAUGAACUAAAUAAAAUUUGAGUUUUCUACAUAAACAAAAGCAUGGUCCAAAACUUACGUUUACAUAGAUGUCGUUAAUCAAACUGUGACAACUUGCUGGCUACUUUUGUAGAAGACAACCCAAUAAAUAGAACGGGCUUUGACAAAAACAAAGACAUGGUAGCCCAAACUCAACAAAGCCCACUACAGAAGCCCAGUCAACAUAUGCAAAAGAAGAUAAAGACCAAAAGCUCUUUACCUGCAAAACAGAAGACUGUCACUAAUACGGAGAAGAAGACAAUAACACUUGAAAACAAAUUCAAGCCGUUGCAGUCGCUGCCGUUGCAGUAAUUCACAAUAAAUAGCUAUUGAUUAAAGAUAGCAUUGUCAAGGAUUCUAAAUUGUUCUAAAGAAGUCAUAAAAGAAAGAUGUAAAACUCCAUUGAAAGAUAAGCAAAAUAAAAACAUUUUUUGUCAAGAAAUAAUCACAGUUUUAUUUUUCUCUUCAUGGUAUCAGAGCUAUUAUACCUUAACAGGUGAUUCAAUGGCCCCUGCUUACCCUUUUCCAGACAAUGUCCAUGUCUCUAGUUCCGUUACCUUAAAGCUCAACGAUAGUAACUACUUGUUGUGGAAGACACAGUUUGAGUCCCUUCUAUCGAGCCAAAAGCUCAUAGGUUUUGUCAAUGGAGUCGUCACUCCUCCAGCUCAGACUCGUCUUGUUGUUAAUGAUGAUGUCACCAGCGAAGUUCCGAAUCCUCAAUAUGAAGACUGGUUUUGCACAGACCAGCUCGUCCGGUCGUGGUUGUUUGGUACGCUUUCAGAGGAAGUGCUUGGUCAUGUCCACAACCUCACUACAUCUCGUCAGAUUUGGAUCUCUCUAGCUGAAAAUUUCAACAAAAGUAGCAUCGCCAGAGAGUUUUCUCUUCGUCGUAAUCUUCAACUUCUGACAAAAAAAGAUAAGUCUCUAUCUGUUUACUGUCGUGAUUUUAAAAUAAUAUGCGACUCUCUAAGCUCCAUUGGCAAACCAGUAGAGGAAUCCAUGAAAAUCUUUGGCUUUCUCAAUGGACUCGGCAGAGAGUACGAUCCUAUCACCACAGUUAUCCAAAGCUCCCUAAGCAAGCUCCCUGCUCCGACGUUUAACGACGUCAUCUCCGAAGUUCAAGGGUUUGACAGUAAGCUGCAAUCUUAUGACGACACUGUCUCUGUUAAUCCUCAUCUUGCGUUCAAUACUGAAAGAUCUAACUCUGGCGCUCCUCAAUACAAUUCCAAUUCCCGUGGUCGUGGUCGUUCUGGGCAAAACAGAGGACGCGGUGGCUACUCUACACGCGGCAGAGGAUUUUCUCAACAUCAAUCCGCUUCACCAUCAUCAGGACAAAGACCAGUUUGUCAAAUUUGUGGUCGCAUAGGACACACUGCUAUCAAAUGCUACAACCGAUUUGACAACAACUACCAAAGUGAAGUCCCUACUCAAGCAUUUUCUGCUCUCCGUGUCUCUGAUGAAACCGGCAAGGAAUGGUACCCCGAUUCUGCAGCCACAGCCCACAUAACAGCCUCAACAUCUGGUCUGCAAAACGCAACAACAUAUGAGGGAAACGAUGCAGUCUUGGUUGGAGAUGGAACAUACCUCCCUAUUACACAUGUUGGAUCCACCACAAUUUCCUCAUCCAAAGGUACUAUUCCGUUGAAUGAAGUCUUAGUGUGCCCUGCUAUACAAAAAUCUCUUCUAUCUGUGUCCAAACUUUGCGAUGAUUAUCCAUGCGGUGUUUAUUUUGAUGCUAAUAAGGUUUGCAUAAUUGAUUUAACCACUCAGAAAGUGGUGUCCAAGGGUCCACGAAAUAAUGGGCUCUACAUGCUGGAGAAUUCAGAGUUUGUAGCACUCUAUUCAAAUCGUCAAUGUGCAGCUAGCAUGGAAACAUGGCAUCAUCGACUUGGCCACUCAAACUCAAAGAUUCUUCAGCAACUUUUAACCCGCAAGGAAAUCCAAGUGAAUAAAAGCAGAACUUCUCCCGUUUGUGAGCCUUGCCAAAUGGGAAAGAGCACUAGAUUACAGUUUUUCUCUUCUGAUUUUCGAGCUUUAAAACCUUUAGAUCGAGUUCAUUGUGAUCUUUGGGGACCAUCACCGGUUGUAUCAAACCAAGGAUUCAAAUACUAUGCAGUUUUUGUUGAUGAUUUCUCAAGAUUCUCUUGGUUUUUUCCUUUGCGCAUGAAGUCAAAGUUUAUUUCAGUGUUUAUUGCAUAUCAGAAAUUGGUUGAGAAUCAACUUGGUACAAAAAUCAAAGAGUUUCAAAGCGAUGGAGGGGGAGAAUUUACAAGCAACAAAUUAAAAGAACACUUUAGAGAGCAUGGCAUUCAUCAUCGUAUAUCUUGUCCAUAUACACCGCAACAAAACGGUGUUGCCGAAAGGAAGCACAGACAUUUGGUAGAGCUUGGGCUUUCAAUGUUAUAUCACAGUCAUACACCUCUCAAGUUCUGGGUAGAAGCUUUCUUCACUGCCAACUAUCUCAGUAAUCUCUUGCCUUCUUCUGUCCUCAAGGAAAUAAGUCCCUAUGAAACUUUGUUUCAACA
This 2862-nucleotide small RNA is filed under the name Arabidopsis thaliana (thale cress). RNAcentral's name for it is "ATSL212050". The record is from RNAcentral. Lineage: Eukaryota; Viridiplantae; Streptophyta; Magnoliopsida; Brassicales; Brassicaceae.